UCUUCUCUCUCUCUCUCUCUCUCGCUCUCUCUCUUUAAUUGAUGCAACUCUAUGUGAUUCUGAUGUGAAAUUUAUGGUGUUUGGCUUUCAUCUCACACAUGCCUCUUUUUGCAAUUAUUAAUGCUAACCAGUCAUUUUCCUUUUCAAAUUACUUUGAGAUACAAGUUGGAGAUUUAUCUAAUAUGGUUGCUUCGUAUUCAUAUUAUUUAGUUGGAGACAGAAGAUGGAAAGCAAAGUUGUCUGCCAUUAGUAUGCUUUAUAAUUAUUAGAAAGGGGUUUCAUGAUGGAAGAUACAUUUUCUGAUGCUCAGAAAGGUGGCCAUGCUGGAGAGGGUUCAUCAUCAAAUAACUCCAACAAGGAUGGACGAUUAUCAGGUGACAAUGAUUUGAAUUGUUCAGAAUCAAAAUCAAAAAGUUUAGUGAGAAGGAAAAAUUCACAACACACUCUGAUUUUGAAAGUAAAGCAAUCACAACGCAGCAGAAGUUACAUUAAGGAAUCUUUUCUUCGAAGCAUUUGUGUCUUGGAGAGUUGGAUCCCAAAGCAUAUGGUAACUGUAGAUGAGAAAUAUCUUCGUCGUUGCCUAGAAUUAAUUCAUAUCAGUGCUUCAAAAGCAGCCCCUAGCAAUAUCUCCCUAAACUUGGGAUGGGGAGAAAUGGGCAUUUUGUCUGAUGGCUUGAGUCCAGCUAAAAUAGAGACUGAAAAUACAUGUGAUUUCACUAGGUUUCAUUUUGACUGUCCGUUGGCACCUGGGAAUGGGAGUGUGGUUAUUAGUCCAGCAGGACACUGGAUUGUUGGUUCCAUCAUGGGUAGCAAGAGUAUGGUAAAUAUACUUAACAGCCCUUUGUUUCACAAAUGUGGUGCAUACGAUGGCGAUGCCAACUAUGAGAAAGUUAGUUUCAGUGAUGUUGAUGGAUCUACAUGUUAUGAUUUCAUGAACUCUCCGGGUGUGUUGAGUAAUUAUUCAUCCAACAAGCUAUGCAAGGAAGCAUCAGUUCCGGGGAACCAUAAAUAUGAAUCUGAGACUCUGCAUGGAAGGCCUGCUUCUGUGUCAAGUACAAACUCUACAUGUUCUGAUCAGUCGUCAUCAUCUCUCUCUGCCCCUGUUACUCAAGGAAUGCUCCAAUGCACGUGGAAGGGGGGGAGCCCGCAUUUUGUUUUCUCUCUGGAUGAUCAAAAGGUGGUUUAUGUGGCCAACUUGUGGAAGGUUGAAUCAGCAGAUGAUAAAGCUGUGGACUAUACAUACCUAUUCCAUUUAAGGAUGGGUGGCCAAAAGGAACAUGAGAUUCAUGACAGUGACUCUCAUCUUGUAGGUAAGAUGAAGGUAUCAACUUCUUUUACCCUGUGCCCAAAUAAAUCUAGAAUAAUGGAGAGAGAGUUUGUUUUAUUUGGUGCUAAUGAAAAUCUUUUGCGAAUGCAAACUUCAAGCCAUGACCUCAAAAAGAGCAAGGGAUUGUCAAAGAAGGUGGCGGAAGUGUUCCGGAGCAGUCACUCAAUGAAGAAGAGAAAUACUUCCAGAUUUAGUGGAUCAAGUGCCAUAAUGGAGAGUUGUCCUUGGGAGCCAUUUCAAGAUACAGAUAACAAUGUUGAUGCACUUUGUGGGCCCAAUCUUUUAGAGAAUCAUCUUCCACCAAAUCUUGAAUUAGUUGCCAUUGUUGUGAAGGACCAUCUUCCUGAUAAUCACCAAGAGAAGGUUGGAGGUUGGGGCUUGAAGUUUCUAAAGAAAUCAAGUGUAAAGCAAACAGAUGAUCUCAUGGAAUCCUCACAACCUCAUGCUUGUUCUAUGCGAGAUACUGGUGACUGCUCAACAAGUAUGGAUGUUCUUAUUCCAGCUGGUCUUCAUGGUGGUCCAAGGGCCAGAAAUGGUGGUCCUUCCAGUCUUAUUGAAAGAUGGAGAUCAGGUGGAUGUUGUGACUGUGGUGGCUGGGACCUAGGGUGCCCAUUAACGGUACUUAAGAAAAGAUUGAGUAACAAAGAGCUUUCACCCCAAGCAGAUAUUCAGGGAGAGUGCAAGUUAGUUGAUUUGAUCAUACAGGGUUCAGAGAACAGUGCUCCCCCCUUGAGGAUGGUGAAUGUGCAUAAUGGCUUGUAUUUUGUUAAUUUUCAGUCAACACUGUCAGCUUUGCAGGCUUUCUCAAUUGCAGUGGCAUUUAUUCAUACCCAGAGUCCUGCUUUCCGACCCCAAAAUGUACAGGGAUGAAAGUAGCAAGAUCCAGGAUUGAGGUUUAUAUAGUUAUUGUAACUCCCUUACUGUAUUACAGCACUUCGUAAGUCAAUAUUUAAGUAUUUGUACACAAAUUUAGAAGUUAGUUUCUGUCAUUUUCUGGUUAGUUUUGAAUAGUGUCAGAUUGUCUUCUUAUCAUAGGUUUUUUGUUUCCUGCUACUGCUACUGCAAGUGAUUGAGAUUGUUUAUCCUUUGAUUUUCGGACAAGAAAACUAAUGUAACCUACUCUGUUCUGAUUGAGUGUACAUUUUUUUUUUGUUGGAAAAGUGUACAAGUGUUUGAUAAGGAGAAUUCAAACUGAAUGUCUUGGUCCCUUUAUAAUGUGUAGGACUGAAAUUGAUCUAGCCUUUUGUGGAUUAAUUGGCUGGGGAAUUCAAAGCACUAUAAGAAUUAAUGUGAAGUUAUUAUCUCAACUUUUAAUUUUGAAGAGGAUACUGGUUUUCCUUCUGUAAAGUGAUUCUUUGUUUAACUUGUUUCUUUACCCACUAAAGUACUUCUGCUAACAUAAUUGAAGUCUGAUAGAUGUGGUGUACUUUAUUGUUGAGUAGGUGCGAAUUAACAUUAAAUGUGGGUUUCUCUUUGGUUCAUUACUGUAUUAAUGGCAGUUUUGGCUACCUUAUUUUCUUCUCAAGAGCAGCUGUUGGGUACACUUUGCAAAUGAUUUGAUUCUUGAUGCUUCUUAAUACUGCACAUUAGGAGGUCAUGGCUUCAAUUGAUUAAAUCCAUGGACCAUCUUCUAAACAAAAAUAGCAAGGAUCCCUUUUACUAGUUUUGAAUUCAAACCUCUUAAAAUUUGGACCUCUUGCAUUUGGAGGUAAUUUGAACUUUGUAUUUAUUGCACCUGUAAUUUUAACCGGCAACCUUUCUCCAUGAAAUCAUAUGUUUUUGCAGAGAUUAAAUAUGAUCCUAACGGGCUAUUUUGCAUUCAACUGGGUGGAAGCUUAGACGACACAUCAAUCGGGUUUAUUUCAGGUCUUUCUACUUCUACUCACUUGUUAAAGUAGUAUAUUUUACUGUUCUCAAAAAGCUAGCUGUGGUCACCAAUGUUCAUUUAUGCAGCUUUCUUAAACUUAACACAUGACCUUUCGAUUCCAUGUAAUUUUGUUGUUUCCUUCUUUUAUUAAUUUUCCUUUCUAAUCACAUUUAAUGUCAAGGGAUAUGUAUUGACAAUAACUUGUUUUAUACAGAAAAUUCAUGUAUCAGGCUUGUGAUAACAAAUUCAAGGGGUCAUCUUUUAUGAAAUUUUAAAUAUAUGUUGUACAUAUUUCUUGCAAGAACAUGCAUGGUUCUGCAAGCUCAUGGAAAAGUACUCUAUUUCUGAAGAUUUUUCUUCUUUAUUUAUUUAUUUAUUUUUUGUAAAGAAUUUUGUUUUGGUAUCCUGGUGAAAACCUUAUUCGCCCUCUAGUUGUGGUGCUGGGAUGAAAGCUUCAGUUGGAGAGGUAUAUUUUUUUCACAUAAUUGAAGUGAGUGGAUGUUGAGUCAUGUAUAAAGGAAUAAGAGAACAAUCAAUUAUGGCUAAAGUUGGGCAGCUGGUUCGUCGUUAUAGUCUAAAGGGUUUCGUUUACCUAUUGAUUGUAGAAUGGGAAGGGUGAAGCUAAAGAUAAAGAGGUUAGAGAGCACCAGCAAUCGGCAAGUGACCUAUUCAAAACGAAGGAAUGGAAUCUUGAAGAAAGCUAAGGAAUUGUCUAUAUUAUGCGACAUAGAUAUUGUCCUUCUCAUGUUUUCUCCAACGGGAAGGCCUACUUUAUAUCAAGGAGAGCACAGGUGAACAAACUAUUGUGCAUUUCACUUUCCUUUUGCUUAAACAUAACUCAGAAAAACAUUCGUGCACCUAUGACUAUCAAGGCGACUAUCAAGGCAACUGGUGUGAAUGACUACAAUCAUGGAAAAUGAUGAACUUUAUUAUUGUUUCACUAUUACAAAUAAAAUUGAGCGCCUAUGUUUGAAUAAUCUCAUUUUCAGUGGCAAGUAUUCCAAAUGCCUCAGAAAACUGAAAAGUCAGAGAAUUAGUGUUUUCUUUUUUCUCUUUUACUUUUACAGCAACAUUGAAGAUGUUAUUGCAAAAUUUGCUCAAUUAACUCCGCAGGAAAGGGCCAAAAGGUAUGAGACUUGUAUCGAAAUUUUGAGCUUUUUUGUUUAGAACUUAGCAGUUUGGUUGGAUUUUUGUGGUAAUAUAGCUAAGAGUUUCCAUAUAAUUGGAACAGGAAAGUGGAGAGCCUUGAAGUGAGAUAACCGUGAUCCAUACUCCGAAAUGUCAUUUUUGUUGUAAUGCUUUUUCUUGUUGGUCCAUAUUGGACGUUUAACAUUUUGUCUUCAAUUCAUAUAAUCAAUUUGGUUUUCUUCUUGAGAAUAUAGGUAUUGAAGAAAACCUUCAAGAAGUUGGACCAUGAUGUGAAUAUGCAAGACUUUUUGGGUUCAAGCACUCAAACAGUUGAGGAGUUGACCAAUCAAGUUAAGUUUUUGCAAGCGCAACUUACAGAAAUACAUAAUAGAAUGAGCUAUUGGAGUAACCCUGGUAAGGUUGAUAGCAUAGAACAUCUUAGUCAGAUGGAAGAAUCGCUAAAAGAGUCUAUUAACCAAAUCCGUCUGCAAAAGGAAAAUUUUGGGAGUUGCCAACUUGUGCGACUAGAAUGCAGUAGCCAGUUUCAGAAUGGAAUGGAUUUACCUUUGAUGAUAAAUGGCAUGCAAGAGGCCCAACCACUAUCAUGGCUUCCAAACAAUGGCAAUCAGCAUCUGAUAUUAUCCAAUGAGCAGAACUUUUUGCCUCAAAGGUUACUGUUCCUCAAUUUUGUAUCUUUGGAUUCAGUGUCCCAGUACCUUGUAAAGUUGUAAUCAAUGUCUGGCUGGAAGAUCAUCAUCCUGAAAGUAAAUUUUGCUUAAAAAGCAUACAUCACUUGGGUAUUAACGUUAGUAGUACAAAGUUGUGGUCAAGCCACUGCAGAACAACUCUUAUUAAUGCAUAUUAUUUCUUUUAAGAUGCUACUAACUGAUAACACCUGUUAUUUUCCCCCCUUUUUCGUUCCUUUAAAAUUUGUUAACUGCUUACUUGGUAAACAGGUUUCUGUUUUCUUUCAUAAUUUCUUGUUACCUUUAUAAUUGGCCUCGUUCUGUUUUCUACAGAGAUAAAGAAUGCUCAACUGAUGCAUCCCUUCCAGGCUAUUCUGUUUACUAUGAUACUGGCAAACAUACUGAAAUUGGAAAUCCGAGACCAGUUGAUAACAUCGGGCAGGGCAGUGCUGUUUUUAGCAAUUUAAGUAGUAAUACAUGUUUAAGUGUACAACUUGAUGAACAGUUCUCAUACCCUCCAUUUAGUAGUUUAAAUUUGCCUGAAGUUAAGAAAAUGAAGCCUGAGAUGCAGAUGAACUCCCAAGGAUCCAAUUAUGUUUAUCAAGUUAAUAGCAAUUUUGAACUGCCUAGACCCAUACAUAACAAUGUCCAUCAUACUUGGAUUUCUGCAUCUGGGUCUUGCAGCAUUGCAACGUUUAAUGAGAACUAAUAUCACCAGCAAUCAAGUUGACUCUAGUGAGUUAAACAUUAUUUUUCCUUUGAUGGGAAGAAUGAUUGCAGACCUGGUGUUUAACAGAGCUGAUUGCCGAAAAAGGAUUCAUAUAGCCGACCCCAACUAGUUUAGGAUUAAGGCUAAGUUGUUGUUCUGGAUCAGUAAUUUAAAGCCAGGGAGGUUCUAGGACAGGAUUUUGAUACAUGGAAGAUAAAUCAAUAGAUAAAUUGAGAACCAUCUGGAUGUUCUCGGCCAUCCAAUAUUUUAGGUUGUUAGCUGUAUAAAUGAUAUACACAUUGCAUAGUUACCAGGUCAUCUGUAUAUAUGUUAUCUCUACAUGUAGCAAGAAUUAGUUUCUGGCAACAGACUCCAAUCACACAAGUUGUAUAUCUAUAAAUUUUGUAUAAAAAUGAAAGCAACUUGAGCCAUAGUUUCAUUUUUAUAG
Molecule: unclassified non-coding RNA, 6165 nt
Filed under: Hevea brasiliensis (rubber tree)
Lineage: Eukaryota; Viridiplantae; Streptophyta; Magnoliopsida; Malpighiales; Euphorbiaceae
Source: RNAcentral